CGUGAAUGUUGCUUCUGUAUUUUUUUUAGGGGGGGGGCUCGUGGCGUGGGUAUCGCGGUGAUGCAGGGGCCUGUUGGGCAUCAAUAUAUCAGCGUUUCGUUCAACUUUGAGGCACGAGGGAGACACGCAUGUGGAGAAAUCGUUCUCCAAAUCCACACCGCAUGCUAGUGUGUAGUUGUCACAACUGUGUGGGUGUUAAAACAGUAAUAUCUUGAGGGGUGAGACAGAAAUAGUUAAAGGCUUCACAUGAUUGGCCAAUCCAGAGCUCACGUGACGGUGUUGGCAGCACCAGCAGCAUCAGAUCGCUUUCUGAGAUCUCACAUGUUAGUUAUGGCAAUGUGUUGUAGGCCCAGAAGUUGCUGUAGCCUGCAUUUCAAGGCAUAAUUACACAGUGUGAAUUUAUCCUGCAGAGCUGCAUCCUGCAGACUCUCUGACUCCUCUAAUACUCCAAGUGUAUUUCCUGUAUGAGCAGUGUAGCCUAAGUGAUGUCCCAUGGCUGUAAUUAACUUGACAUUAGGAGUGUGAUGUAUAAUUGGAUGUACAUGCACACCACUCGGUGUGCAAGAUGAAGCCCAGCUAGUGGAGUACUUGGGAGAAAGUGCAGGACUGAACUGCUGUGUGCUACCUGCUAUCGGUGUUUUUCCAUCACAUAACUGUGGGUUGUUUGGUUCUUUGCUACCCAACCAGAACCUGCAGGUGCAACACAUCAACAUCCCGCCGCAUCAGUCAUUCAGAGACUGGGCUGUACCCGGCCCUCUUCAGUGUAUUUUGAACAGGCUUUCGACUCAAAUCCAAGUUAGAUGAGGCAGAUAUGUUUGAAUCUGUGUUUCGCAGGGUGGAUUAUUUUUGUGUUCGCCUGUUAGAUAAGAACUAAAUAGGACAUCGGCUCAGAGUUUGAUCUAUUCUUAGAGCAGAAUCAGCAAGCCUCAGAGAUGACUGAAUAUCCCUGAAGUCCCUGCAUGCUCUAUUUAGACCAUGACUGACAAUAUUUGAUGUGCGCCGUUAGACAAGACAGCUCAAAUGAAAAAUGCCGGGAAUUUCAGCCCCUUAUUUAUCACCUCACAAUGAAGUCAAGCUGCCACCAGACAAGAUGAGGAGCAGCAAUCAGCCUGCAGAUGGAAACAAGGGUGGGUGGUUGGAAGGCUGGAUAAAGGCUGCUGGAUGACUGAACUCAGAGACCCGGCGCAGCUCAUCAUCAUUGCCAUGGGCUCUUGUCUUCUUCCUCUCCUCCUGUGGCUUGUACCUCCAUCCAGGGGUCCAGUAGAGCCAGUGAAGCCCAGGCGGGGAGCUAGUGAGUGGGCCGGGAAGGAUGGAGAAGGUCCCCAAAGGCUCAGAUCACCUCUGGAGCUACCGGCAUGCAGGAGAAAUCAAUAUGAAACAGAAAACCUUCACAGCUCUGAGUGGGGUUUCCUGUGUUUUAAGUGUGUGGCCUACGGGCCUGCAGACCUCCAAAAGACAGGUCCUGUGUGGUUCUCUCAGCUGCAGCCCUGGCUCCUUGGACUGGACCUCAGUCCCAAUCUCCACUGGCUGUGUGUGUGGUUCUGCUGAAGGGGAUUUCUCCCCAAAUAAUACCCAAUGCCCAGAACGUUGAAAGACUGCCAAGAGGGAUGCUCCUUUCUCUUGCCUUUUUUUUCCAUCAUAAGAUUGACGUAUCCCCCCAACCUCCUGCCUCGGGCUGAUAAAAAAAAAAAACAAAAUAAAAAAAAAAACACAGUUCGGGAGCUCUACUUUUGACUCAUUCUCCAUCCUCGACUCGCCCGUUGUUUAUUCCCCCAACUAGUUUUUACAUUUGACAAAGAGACAGAUCUUUAUUUUCUCUACCACUCGCUUGGCUUGCUGUUACUAUGGUGAGCUGUAGACACGUGUCUGUUCAAACAAGAAAUACUGGCACACGAAGUAUGAGCUUUUUUUUUUCUCCAUGAUGUCUAUUAUUCAAUUUCAGACUGUUUAAAAAAAACUGACUGAACAGCAAAGAGGGCUGGAGAUCAUAGAGCAGAGAGACCUUGUAGUGGAGAUGGUAAAAUGAUUGACGGCGCAGGAGAAAAAUCUGCUUGCGUUUGGCUCAAAGACCAGGCCUGUUCAUCUGUUGUUUUUCUGGUGUAUAACAAAACCUCAGAAACAAAGAUUUUGUUGUAAUAUGGGUUAACAUUGAUAUUUUAAAAACACCAAAAAAAAAAUGUUAUUUCAUUGUCUCUUAAGAUGUACUUUAUUGCCAACAAGCAUCUGGGGUUGAAUAAAGAAAUGUAUUUAAAGCUUUUAAAUAUAUAUUGUUUAUUGAGAGCCUUGUGUUUUGUUUGCUGUCCACUGCUGUAUUUGAUGCUCGUCAUUCGGCAAGAGUAUAGAGAAAAAUUUGAACUAAUUUUUUUAAUAAAAAGUCAGAUUGAUCACACCGCACUUUUAUUUUUGUGCCAGUUUUACAAUAAAGACUUUGUGUCUAAUGUAUAUAUAUGUGUGUGUAUAAACGCGCGGUCAAUAAAGUAACAUUAAUUUGAACCUCCUAUUUCCAGCUUUUUUUUUUUAUUACUUAGUUUUCAUUCUAAAUGCACAUUUCCCUAAAAUAUCUAAUAAGUCUAAUUUGGGCAUGAAGCUGUCACAUAUUUUUAUAAAGACCAAAAAAUGAUGGUGAAACUGAUUUUUUAACAUUCAGUUUAUUUUCUCACAUUUAUUUCAUUCAUUAUCGUAAGUCUAGCGCACUUAUAGCUAUUUACAAAACAAUACUACCUCCAGUGUCUUGUUACAUAAAGAAAUAUGCAAUAGAGAAAACUCACACAAUAACAUUUUCACUACAGUUAUUCUGACUUUUUGACAAACGUGGAAGUUUUUUUUGUUUGUUUGUUUUUUUAUUUGAUUUGUCUCAAUUUGCUGGUUUAGUGCAGAGGAAUAAACAGAAAUAUUAAAUCUUUUUGUUUUUACUUUUUAAAAAUUAUUUUUGUGUAGGCCCACACAUGCUAUUUGCCAUAAAAGACUGGUCUGUUUGUGCCUUUUUAAAUCAAACAGUGAAUGUAGAAUUUCUUUUCUUCUAGCUCAGCAAAAUUAGGCCCACACCAAACUGUGCUCAGACUCAGAGUGUAGUAGGUCAGGAAGAUUGGAAUAUUUGCAUUUUAAACAAACUGGCUUUUUGAAGCAUUUAAACAAAAAGGGGGGGAAAAGAUCGGGUUUUGAAGUUUUUAGCUACAUAUCUUUGACGUGGUUAAAAAACAAAAAUGCUCGCUAUACUGUCUACAGCACAGUUUUAAUAUUACUAACCAGAAAAGCAGGUGUAUUUGUAAAUCAAACACAAGGAGCUUAAUGGUAUAUUAU
Molecule: long non-coding RNA, 3300 nt
Organism: Astatotilapia calliptera (eastern happy)
Lineage: Eukaryota; Metazoa; Chordata; Actinopteri; Cichliformes; Cichlidae
Source: Ensembl